UACGUAGGGCACAAGCGUUAUCCGGAAUUAUUGGGCGUAAAGAGCUCGUAGGCGGUUUGUCGCGUCUGCCGUGAAAGUCCGGGGCUUAACUCCGGAUCUGCGGUGGGUACGGGCAGACUAGAGUGCAGUAGGGGAGACUGGAAUUCCUGGUGUAGCGGUGAAAUGCGCAGAUAUCAGGAGGAACACCGAUGGCGAAGGCAGGUCUCUGGGCUGUAACUGACGCUGAGGAGCGAAAGCAUGGGGAGCGAACAGG
Molecule: ribosomal RNA, 253 nt
Filed under: uncultured bacterium
Lineage: Bacteria
Description: partial 16S ribosomal RNA
Rfam family: Bacterial small subunit ribosomal RNA
Source: RNAcentral